UGUAAACUGUGGGUGUCUAGUGCCUGCUACUCACACCUAUAGCCUGGAGGAAAUUCAGAUCUGAAAGAUCUAGAAUUUUAAUAAAGUGAAAAAAUCAACUCUGGCAAACCCAGAAGUUUGAACAGCAAGUCUGCAAUAUCUUUGACAUUACUACCCUGAAGCAUCAAGUUUUACCUGCCAUUUUGUAAUGUGGCUAUGUGAGUGUUUUCCUUGCGGGAACAUCAUAUUAAGAAAGAGCACCAGUGACAUCAGGAUGGCAGUGUUUUAUCUUUCAAGUGAAUUGAAUUUAAGCAAGGCUCAGACCUGAGCAGAGAUAAAAGCCUCAUUCUCUCUUUGAGUCAUCAAAAUCCUUAUGUCAAGAUUAUUGGUGAUAGCUAUUUGGAAAAAGCUUCUGAAGAAAAAAGUAAGUUCCUAACUACAGCCUGGCUUGUAAUUGUUUAAUAGUUCACUAAUGAGGCUUGGAUCAGAAGAAAUGGAAUUUCUUUGGGGCUUGAGCUCGACUAACUGGUAAGCUUUGGGAUGGUCAAAUUUUCCCUAACUCUCAUGGGAGAGUUGACAGAGAAAUCUGAAGGAAACACCUGUUUUUGUACUGUGUAGUACACAAAACAAAUUGCAAUAGCCAAUCCUACUUUAUUCUCCAGCAUCCCUAGAAGACAUCUCAACUUUAAGUACAGAAGUAUCUAACUACUGCCAACUAGUCCAGGUUGAGAAUGAGAGGCUCUCAAGACUCUACUGAUAUAGAAGCUGAUUGUCUUAUCAUCACACUCCUUAAAGCUUAUGUCUUCAGCAGCUUGGAUGUGGACUAAUUUAUUGCACUUACUUCCUUCUUUCAUCAGAAAAUGAAGUGAAUUAAUCCAAAAUAGGUUCUGAAUUAAUAAAAGUUCCCAUUACUUUAGGAAUAAAAAGAA
Molecule: long non-coding RNA, 908 nt
Organism: Antechinus flavipes (yellow-footed antechinus)
Lineage: Eukaryota; Metazoa; Chordata; Mammalia; Dasyuromorphia; Dasyuridae
Exons: 3
Source: RefSeq, a predicted model, not a curated record